UACGGAGGAUGCAAGCGUUAUCCGGAAUUAUUGGGCGUAAAGCGUCCGUAGGUGGCGAAUCAAGUCUGUUGUCAAAUCGUGCAGCUUAACUGCAUACGGGCGAUGGAAACUGGUUUGCUAGAGUGCGAUAGGGGUCACAGGAAUUCCCAGUGUAGCGGUGAAAUGCGUAGAUAUUGGGAAGAACACCAGCGGCGAAAGCGUGUGACUGGGUCUGCACUGACACUGAGGGACGAAAGCUAGGGGAGCGAAAGGG
Molecule: ribosomal RNA, 253 nt
Filed under: uncultured bacterium
Lineage: Bacteria
Description: partial 16S ribosomal RNA
Rfam family: Bacterial small subunit ribosomal RNA
Source: RNAcentral